AACAGCCAAGCAUAUAAAUGCAAUAUCAGAAAGAGCAAAUCGGCUCAUAAGUCGUCCCCUUGGGCACAACACUCCUAAACAUAUAAUACCAGGGUAUCUAGACAACAAGGCAAGUAACAGUAUGUAUGCCGAUGAAUGCAAUGCAAUGCAUAUGACCGCUACGGCGCGCAUCCCGAUCCAUUUGGGUACCCACGCUCACUGUGGGGGUUCAGACUCCGGAGGGGCUCCUACAGCCCAAGAGCAAUAUCAAUAUCACACUGUUGCGGCGUGCAGCCCGAUCCAUGCAUAUAUAUGCAUAUGCACACAUAAUGCCCGAGGCCUAAAAGCCUCCUCGCAUCACUCCUCAUGCCCUCACAUAUGGCCCUCGGCCUCAAUCAGUCCAAAAAUAGUUCAAAAGCCACUUGGACAUUAGUAAAACAAUAAUACUCAGCUCAAAUGAUAGUUCAAAUAUCGUUUAAAACUACAAGUUUGAGUAAAAUAUAGCCGAGUUCAUAAAGCAGUGUAAAUCACACAGACUGAGUUUAAAUCAUAAUUCAAAUAGUGAGGGAAACAGUGAUGAUAGUUCAUAAAGAGUUCAUACAGUCGGCAAUAAGCCCCAAGUAUGGCAAUGAGCUCAAUUAUAAUGAUAACUACAAAUUGUUUGCAAAUAUGCGGUAACAACCAACAACCGGGACGGACCAAGUCACGAUCCCCAACGGUGCUCUACCCCACGCUCAGGUCCNNNNNNNNNNNNNNNNNNNNNNNNNNNNNNNNNNNNNNNNNNNNNNNNNNNNNNNNNNNNNNNNNNNNNNNNNNNNNNNNNNNNCAAUACAGCACUAAGAUGUGCAAAUCCGGGGUUUCAAACCCUCAAGAUAUCAUUCCCAAGUAUUACUCACCUCGAACCGGCGAAAUCUCAAGCCCGCGACGCCUUUGCCCCUCAAAUUGGCCUCCACGGGCGUCGAAACUAGCCAAAAACAAAGUGAAUACAUCACAAUAUGCAAAUGAGAUAAUACCCAAUCGAAAACAACCGAAUUAUAGCAAAAUCCUCGAAACUAGCAAAACCUGAGCCCGGGUCCGCUUCUCGAAAAAUUAUGAAAUUUACAUUUUUGGAAUUCUCAUCUCGCCACGAGUCCGUACAUACCAAGAUCUCCCAAAUCCAAACUCAAAUAACCUAUCAAAUCCCAAUUUGAAAUAUCAAAAACUCAAGCCCUAGUUUCUUCGAUUUUAUACCUAAAUUCAGAGAAUUAAUGGAUGAUUGUUUGAUUAAAUGAUGUUUCUAGACCACGAGACUUACCUCCAAUCACUUCUCGUCGAAACCCCCUUUAAAUUCUAUCAACAAGCUCCCAAGGUAGUGCAAAAAUGGUGGAAAAAUGGCAUAGGUCGCGGAUGAAAUAACCCUUAAAUGAAUUCUGAUGCCAAGAUUUUUACUCUAUGUGAUCGCGUGCCCCAGGAUGCGAUCGCGAAGCACAGUGCCUUAAUGACCAAUAUUUUCCUUUACGCGAACGCGCCACCCAGAUUUUUACUCUAUGCGAUUGCGGCCACAGGCACGCGAUCGCGAAGCACAGUUCCUCAAUGACCAAAAUUUUUCCUUUACGCAAACGCGCCACUAGCCCGCAACCGCGAUGCUCCAGGUAAUUCUACUACGCGAACGGGUCUGACCCCACGCGGUUGCGAUGCUCAAUCCUCCUCUUAAUCGCGAAUGCGAAUAAACCCUAUGCGAAUGCGAUAGACAAAAUACAGGCCCACUCCAGCUGACUCUACACGUUUGCAUCCUUCCUCACGGGAACGCGUAGAAGGAAUUUCUUCUGCAAUCUUUUUCUGAAAAUCUGCUAUCUUCAAACAUGGAAAUUAGUCCGUUUGACCACCCGAAUCCAUCCCAAAGCCCCCGGGACCUCAACCAAAAAACCCAACCUACUCUAAAACACCAAACAAACUUGUUCCAAUCAUAAAAACACACACAACAACACCAAAAUCAUCAAAUUACCAGGGAUUCAAACCUAACUUUUCAUAAAACUUCUGAAACAAAGNNNNNNNNCUUUUUGACCACCCGAAUCCAUCCCGAGGCCCCCGGGACCUCAACCAAAAACACCAACCUACUCUAAAACACCAUACGAACUUGUUCCAAUCAUAAAAACAGAAACAACAACACAAAAAUCAUCAAAUUACCACGGAUUCAAUCUUAAAUUUUCUUAAAACUUUUGAAACUCAUAUUCGAUCAAAAACUCGACCAAACGACAUCCGAAUGACCUAAAAAUUUGCAGACAUAUCCAAAGUCACCUAACGAAGCUACUACAACUCUCAGAAUUUCAUUUCAACCCUCGGACCAAAAUCUCACCUAUAAACCGGAAUCCGCCAAAAUUCAAACUUCGCCAAUUCAAGCAUAAUUCCACACCGGACCUCCAAAUUCAAUUCUGAUCGCUCGCCUAAGUCACAAAUCAUCUCUCGAAGCUAACCGAACAAUCGAAAAUUACAUCCGAGCCUUCUAACUCACAAGUCAACUUCCGGUUGACUUUUCCAAAACAGGCUUCCUUCUAAGAGGCCAUGCGCCUUAUUUUCAACCAAAACCAGUUCAAUUACACUCGGUCGACUCUAAUACUGAUAUUGAAACAUGAAGCAACACAACAAGGGGGAAACGAAGCAUUAACACAUAAGUCGACGGGUCGGGUCUUCACACACGUUAUUAGCUUUGGGGAAGGCCGUGAAAUUCACUAAACGGCCCAUCCCAAAAUUUAAGUAUUUUAAUACAAACAUUUAUUGAGGGCCCUGCAAUUUACGUGUUUUAUUGAGGGCCCUUAAAUUUGAAUACCAUUAUCUGGACGUUGGCCUUCUAUACAUUGAAGUACUGGUUUCCAUUUUAAACCAUGAUGCAGGGAAUUUCAAAUCUCAUAAAACUCGAUCAUCUCAACUAAAGCCCAAAACAGUUUGACGCCUAAACCAAAUGGAUUUGAUUCUAAUUCUAAAGUUCAGACUUCCUUAUCUAUAUCUUCUGAUGAGUUUCUGAAUAUCAACAGCAAUUUUAAGUUUAUUUAUUACUAAAGGCAAAAAACAACUAAAAAUAUAGACUAGAUUCGACAAAAUGCUCAUGAAUGUAAACCUCAAAUAUAUAAACUGAACAACUUGAUUACUUCAUUAACUAUUAUAGCUUUCAAAUUUACUAACACACUCAUUUAAUAUCCCAAACAACCCUAUGACUGAUUGAAAUUAAAAUAACUACUGGAAACCUUUACUAAUCAUGACUUGGUUCUACCAUCCUACAACGAAAAUAACUAACUCAUGUCUAACUAAUAACACUCACACAAAUCGGAGAAAAAUAGUCUCACACAGUCCAAUAUGAAUCAAACAGUCCAAACAAUUUAGAAGUAAUCCUAAUUAAAGUCCAAAUCAUUACAGUCGACUAUAAUGAAAACAUCGCAACAAUUGGAGCUUCCAUUAGAAUUAUGCUUCCAUUUCAUUUCAUUUCAGCUGAAGAUCUACAUGAUUCUAAGAUUCAGGAUAGGUACCCGGGUGUUAAAUCACAGUAAGAAGAAGGUAAGAAGAAGCAGCAACAGAGGUUAUAUAACAGCUCAAAUUAGAGUUCACAGCUUCAACAAACAAUAUCAAUACUAAUCUAGAAUUGCAUUCCGAGAGGGACAGUAUCAAUAAUAAACCAAAUGAACUUGAAGAAAACCCAGACAAACUCAGAACUAGACCAGGACCACUUCUGAAAUCAACAGCUAAUAAAAACAGCCUGAAACAGUCUCACUAGAACCCAAACCCACUCGAGAUGCACUCAGGAAUCUCCAGAAAAUUUCAGUAACCAAACUAUAGACUAAAUGUUGCAAAUCAAAUACCGAAAUUCAAAAUCAACCUGAAAACUUUCAAUAGAACUGUUUUUUUGAUUUUCUGUAGUUUCUGUUUUUGUAUUUUUGUUUUCUGUUGGGAUGAACUAAGAUCUAAAGAGCUUUGAAUUUUGAAUUCAAAUUUAAGAUCUGCUGAAAUUAUAUAGACUAUUUUUUGGGCGGAAAUUUAGAGAGUGAAAAACUUGUUGCCUAAGGCACUAUUCAUGCCCUUUUAUAGGCAAAGAUGAUGACUCUAUCAGAUUCUGUAGUUUUUUAACCUAGUCCCUCUUUAUUUUCAGAUUAGUCCUCUAUUUUUUAACUUGCUUCUCAGGUUAACACACUCAUCUUCUGAAAUUUACCUUAACACCCACCUCUAGAAGCUUCUAGGAAGUUCUUGAUAGAUUCCCUACCCUUGAGUACCUAUACCCUUGACUUGGUCCUGAUAUUACUAACCAACCUCCAGCCCUGUUAACUAACCAAACAUCUUGUCUAACUAACUGUAGUUAAACCAGCAUUUCUGAAAAUCGAACAGCUAAAAACCAAACAAAUCCUAAGAGUUGAACUAACAAGGAGAUUAAUUCUAAAAUCAGUAAAUAACCAAGUAAAACAACACUGAAAAUUGAUCUAACCACCAACCAAACAGAGCUUAAACAAAAAUUAAUCUAACUAAUCUAAUUAGCUGACAUUUAAUUCUAAACAAAUAACAAUUACCUAGUAUAGUCCCACAAAGUGGAGUCUGGGGUAAUAUGUAGAUGAGCCUUACCCCUACCCGAAAGGGCAGAGAGGCUGUUUCCAAUAAACUCUAAACAAAUAGAAAUCUCAAAUGUCGUAAAGCUAACACAACAAUGAACUAAUUAAAAUCAAACAUAGCCAAAAAUGAAACCAACUAUGAAGACUAAACGGCCAGAAAUCAAAAAAUGCAAAGCGACAGUUAAACAUGGAACCCUACUAUGGAAUCAAACUGGCAAAUUACUAAAACAAACUAACUAUAUAGUAAAGAAAGAUCAGAACCCUCAAUUGAAAUCCUAAUUCACCACAACGAUAACAAACUUUGAAUAAAAACAAAACGAUAAUAAUAAAAAGCAACUGAAAACAUAGAAGAAAGGUCAAACUCACUGAUUUGAGCCUUCGACUUGACUGAACUUGGAAUUGAUCUUCAAAUGAUAUUAUGUGUUUGUUCUUACCAAGAACAAACACAUAACAUGAUUUUAAAAUCAUUCGAACACCGACUGACACUGAAAAUUCAAGCAACCUUGACAGCAAACCCUAGAUUUGGGAUUCGAAACUUUUUAGUCGGAUUGGGGAAAAUAGCUUGGUGAUUUGGACGUAUGAGAGUUAAGAGAGUAUGGGGUGUGAAUUUGGUAGAUUUUGGAUGAACUUGUAUUUUGGACCGGACCUUUGAUUUAAUAUUCGAAACGUUAGGUUGUGAUUUGAGGAAAACUAUGGCCAGAUUCGAGAUGAGGGAGAAAAGGAGAUUCUAGGGUGUUAUUUUGGUGGGUGUUGGCGUCGGCGCCGCCACCGGAGACGGUGGGGAAUUAGUGGAGGCUCAAUUAGGGUUCUUGUGAAGAGGGUCUGUGAGGGAGACGAUUCGGGGGUAUGGGGGUUUCAGACACUAAUAUAUGAAGGU
RNAcentral lists this long non-coding RNA (5424 nucleotides) under Nicotiana benthamiana. Its description in RNAcentral is "long non-coding RNA (NBEN_LNC037579)". The record is from RNAcentral. Lineage: Eukaryota; Viridiplantae; Streptophyta; Magnoliopsida; Solanales; Solanaceae.